CUCGCCUACACGAAGUUGGAAUUGCUAGUAAUCGUGGAUCAGCAUGCCACGGUGAAUACGUUCCCGGGUCUUGUACACACCGCCCGUCACACCAUGGGAGCUGGUAACACCCGAAGUCAGUAGUCUAACCGCAAGGAGGACGCUGCCGAAGGUGGGAUUAGCGACUGGGGUGAAGUCGUAACAAGGUAUC
This 190-nucleotide ribosomal RNA is filed under the name uncultured bacterium. RNAcentral's name for it is "partial 16S ribosomal RNA". It matches the Rfam family "Bacterial small subunit ribosomal RNA", at positions 1311 to 1500 of the family's 1533-position model. The record is from RNAcentral.